GAGAUGAUGGGGGUGAGGACAUCAUUCAGUGCCAGUUUUCCUGGCAUCGCAAUGCAUUUCUCCAGAUCCCACUGGGACAAGAAAAAAGGAAACAGAUUCUUGGGCUUCGUCUCCGGCCCCGUGCCACCCGAAUAAGGGGCCUUCUGUGCCCAGGGCGACCCUGGGCGGAGCGGGCUCGUCUCCCCCCACACACGCAGGUUUCAGACGUCUCCAGUCCAAGCAGCUAAAUCCGAGCGAAAACACAGCACCCGAAACAAAGGUCAAAAACCAAGAUCCCGCAGCUUGCCAGAAGGAAGGAGUGGAAAGAGGGCAUUGUCAGAAAAUACCAGGAGCUGCAAAAAAUAAAUAAAUAAAGGCAUUUUGCGGAGGCUGAAGAGAGGGAAUUAACAUUCUGCUUCUGAGCGCUGGUUCCAGUCUGGUGUUUCCAUCAGUAAGAGUCCAGUGCAGAUGGGAGGCAUUUGGCUCUGGCCGUGUCAACAUUCACCCACGGUGGGGGGCUACUGGCCCCAGCCCUCUCUCCAGCCCUCUCUCCUGCUCACGGAAGCACAACCUCAGCCACAGCCACGGGUCUGCUUCCGGCUGUGUCCACACCUCAGAGCCAGGCAGAGAGCAGAGACCACGGCACGGACUUCUGGGAAGAAGAAAAGUGGCUGGGCUUUUAUCAUUUGGUGAAGACAUCUGGGAGACUGAUUAUUUAUACGGAUUCUUAUCUUUGCUUGGUAGAAAGAGAGGGGCUGGUAUGCAGCUGCUUCAGUUGAUGGUUGUUCCUCAAGCUUGUUAGCUCAUUAGAUUUAUCUUUGCUUCUGUCAGAAGAGGCCUCAUGAUCCCUGAGGAGAGGAAGGCUCGAGUCUGAGGCUGGGGUUCAGUCACUGCCAGUGUCAUGUGCACGAGGAAGCAGCAGGCAGUGUGAGCAGCACCUGAGGCAUGGCCUCUCUGAGAGCAACGAAUUGGGUGCAGGGCGGGUGUCUCCUGCAGGCUCCCUAGAGAGGCCAGGCGGCGGGCUGAGAAGCGCUGCAUUCCUCCUGGACAUCUCCUACGCUGGUGGCAGGUGCUCUGAGCCCUCCUUCUGAUUCUUGUUUUGUAGCCACG
This 1089-nucleotide long non-coding RNA is filed under the name Heterocephalus glaber (naked mole-rat). RNAcentral's name for it is "lncRNA (ENSHGLG00000046386.1)". Lineage: Eukaryota; Metazoa; Chordata; Mammalia; Rodentia; Bathyergidae. The record is from RNAcentral.